RNAcentral lists this non-coding RNA (22 nucleotides) under Rattus norvegicus (Norway rat). The record is from RNAcentral. Lineage: Eukaryota; Metazoa; Chordata; Mammalia; Rodentia; Muridae.
CCAGUGUCUAAGGAAUGCCUGG